Molecule: non-coding RNA, 1913 nt
Organism: Odocoileus virginianus texanus
Lineage: Eukaryota; Metazoa; Chordata; Mammalia; Artiodactyla; Cervidae
Source: RefSeq, a predicted model, not a curated record
UUUAAAAUGGCAUUACUUAAACAGGAAUGAUGGUGCUAGAGGACACUUUAGCUGAGACCCAAGCCCAUGUCAGCCAGUCCAGUUAGAACCAUUCAAAGCUCCAGCUUCACAAGAAAUCAAGAGAUAUAGUGGAAGAGGAUUAGCCGGUGAUUUGUUGCCUGUCACAACCCACCUCAGAUCCAUGUUAAGUUCCUGAACACUCCAGUAGAGGAAGUAAGGGCUUUGCAGCUUUCUCAUCCUGGUACAGGAGACCAUCAAGGGUGCACGCAUUAAUCAACUGAGCAGAAGAUCUGGGAGGAUACCGCUCAAGGAAUCUUCAAGAUACUAUUACCAUUUGCUUGAUUCUAAUUUAAAUAAUUUGGAGUUCUUAGAAGAUUAGAAAGUUUUGAAAAGUAGACUGUCAACACAAAGAGAAUGAAAAGAAAAUUUGGGGGGGGGGAAUUUUACAAAAUGUUUCUUCUAUAGAACAAUAGGCUUUUACAGGCUUGCACUGAUUAAAAAAAAAAAAUUAUUAGAUAUAAAUGAGAAGCAUGUGCUUCUGGUGGUAUUAUACUCCAAGAAUUUUAGUUAAGUAAGGUCUAAACUUUCAGGGUAUUUGAAAUAUACUCAGUUGGACAGUUAAUGAACCCUCUUCAACUUAAAGUAGAGAACUGCCACAAGAGAAAAAAAUGCACGAAAAAAGUUAUGGAAGAGACAAAUGGAUAUUGAACUCUUUUCCAGUGUUCCCAUUCCAAUGAUUUUUAGGAGUUAUAGUUAAAGAAGUACAGCUUUCCUUCCAUCCCUGAAAUUGGUUUCUUGCAUAACACAUUAUUUUGAAUGUCAGCAAUCAGCCCUUGCACUUCUUUAGACCAAAGACCAAGAUUGAGAGCAGAGUGAAUGCCUAUUUCAGUCCCAGAAACGAAGGCAUCAGUAGUAUAAUAGAAGGCAAGUGAAAGAUAAAUACAUUUGUUUUUCCAUCUGCUAAGACAUAACUAAAACAUUCUUCCCAUUUUUUCCUUAAUAUUUUGUUUCCUGGCAACUAAUAACAAAAAUUCCCAAUCAACCACAUCUUUCACAAUUCUUGGUUCUUUAAAAAAGCAGCACUAAUACUGUUGUUUAGAUUUCUAAUAUAUAAAAUUAUUUUCAAAAAAGAAGUACUAUAUAUUAAAAAGUUAUAUAUAUUAUAUACAUAGGCAUACAUACAUAAAAUUAUAUGUGUAUGUAUAGUUCAGUAAAGGAGCCAUAGGGAUGUAUUAUAUAACCAUUCUGAAAAACAAUGGGGCACUAUCUGGUAAAUUUUCUGUAACCCAGCUAUUUUACUCCUGGAUGUUUAUUCAAAAGAAGCUCUUUCACAUGUACCAUAAGGAAACUAAAAGACUGUGAUCUCUUUCUCUCUCUUAUGUGCACUUGGAGAUUUUUCCAAUGUUUAUCAAGAGCAGAAUGGAUUAUCCUGAUACAGGGUGAAAAUUAAUUAUAGCUAUAUGCAAAAAUACCUAAGAAUCUUGUCUACACAGCAAAAAAAUUGGCAUAAUCUUACACCUAUAUUUCCAUAAAAUAUAAAGUUCAAAAAUGUAUACAAAAUUAACCAGUAUUUUGUUUAGGCAUAUAAACAUAUGAGGCAAAACUAAAGAAAAGCCGGACAAUAAUUAGCACAAAAUUCAAAGCUUUGAUUAAGACCUGACAGGGUCCCACAGGGGAUGUGAAAGUAAUAUUCUUUCUCUUCAAGUAGGUGGUGGGUAGAGAGUUGUUCAUUGCAUUGUGAUUCUUUAUAUAUUACACAUAUUUAAUAAAUGUUCUUUUGAAACUGUUCAAUAUUUGGUAAAAACAUAUACAAUAAAAAGCAAAGGUCUACACAAUUACUGCAAUUGUUAUAUCUAAAAAAAUGUUUUAAAACUAAUAUAUUGUUCAGUCAUUUAUAAUCAUCUACUUUUUUG